AUUGAACGCUGGCGGCAGGCUUAACACAUGCAAGUCGAGCGGGGUGAUGGUGCUUGCACUAUCACUUAGCGGCGGACGGGUGAGUAAUGCUUAGGAAUCUGCCUAUUAGUGGGGGACAACAUCUCGAAAGGGAUGCUAAUACCGCAUACGUCCUACGGGAGAAAGCAGGGGAUCACUUGUGACCUUGCGCUAAUAGAUGAGCCUAAGUCGGAUUAGCUAGUUGGUGGGGUAAAGGCCCACCAAGGCGACGAUCUGUAGCGGGGCUGAGAGGAUGAUCCGCCACACUGGGACUGAGACACGGCCCAGACUCCUACGGGAGGCAGCAGUGGGGAAUAUUGGACAAUGGGGGGAACCCUGAUCCAGCCAUGCCGCGUGUGUGAAGAAGGCCUUAUGGUUGUAAAGCACUUUAAGCGAGGAGGAGGCUCUUUUGGUUAAUACCCAAGAUGAGUGGACGUUACUCGCAGAAUAAGCACCGGCUAACUCUGUGCCAGCCGCCGCAGUAA
RNAcentral lists this ribosomal RNA (503 nucleotides) under uncultured bacterium. RNAcentral's name for it is "partial 16S ribosomal RNA". It matches the Rfam family "Bacterial small subunit ribosomal RNA", at positions 30 to 523 of the family's 1533-position model. The record is from RNAcentral.